GCCGGUGUAGCUCAGCUGGUAGAGCACAUCAUUCGUAAUGAUGGGGUCGUAGGUUCAAGUCCUAUCACCGGCACCA
Molecule: transfer RNA, 76 nt
Filed under: Paracoccaceae bacterium
Lineage: Bacteria; Pseudomonadati; Pseudomonadota; Alphaproteobacteria; Rhodobacterales; Paracoccaceae
Also listed under: 1 other name
Description: Rhodobacteraceae bacterium tRNA-Thr
Rfam family: tRNA
About the family: Transfer RNA (tRNA) molecules are approximately 80 nucleotides in length. Their secondary structure includes four short double-helical elements and three loops (D, anti-codon, and T loops).
Source: RNAcentral